This 1559-nucleotide long non-coding RNA is filed under the name Laticauda laticaudata (blue-ringed sea krait). RNAcentral's name for it is "lncRNA (ENSLLTG00000017441.1)". Lineage: Eukaryota; Metazoa; Chordata; Lepidosauria; Squamata; Elapidae. The record is from RNAcentral.
GCUGGGCUGGGAGGCCGCCAUCGGGCGCCGCCUUUUAUAACACCGGGGAGGCAGGAGACCCAGUCAGGCGGCUCAGAAGCCCCGAAGCGGGCGGUGGAGGCGAGCGCCGUGCCAAGCACGUGACUUGGCGGUCUCUCCGCCGGGAAGCGGCCUGCUCCCGCCGGCCGGGAGGCUCUUUCGGGGCGGCUGGCUCCGAGCUUUCUCGAUCGGGUUUUGCUUUAGCUCUUUGCCCGCCUCCGCUCCGCCGGCUUCCCCAACGCGUUGUGGGGCUCCGCGAGUCCGCCUCCCGUUUCUCCUUUGGACGGAAGAAAGGGACUCGAACUAGGACGCGCCGGGAUCGCCCCUCCGUCGAGAGAGGUGGAGACCAGAGGGAAGGGUCCCUGGCGGCGGGGAGAAAAGCGCGGGCGAGCUCCCUCAACGACCGAAGUUGCAGCAAGCCCCCCUGGCUAACUGAACCCCGUGAGUCACGGAAGGCCGUUUUCUUUUCUGUACUUGUAGAUGGACUAAACCAUCACACAAGCUGGAUAGUUUAUGGCUCAGUCGGUCGUGGGAACACGGUCAAUAUUCCUCUCGCAUCUUUCCCGAACACUGUUUAGCUUUAGCAGUAAUCUCCACAUGUAAACAAUUUAAAAUCGGCUAUUUUCACAAAAAAAAGGGGGGUUCACCGAGCAAGCCCUUUCCAGCGUAGCAUUUUUCUGCAAUGCAAAAUAUCGACAUUAUUUUGCUGCAUACAGGUAGUACUCAACAGCCACAAUUGACCCCGAAAUUUAUAUUGCUAAAUAAGAAAUUUGUUAAGUGAGUUUUGCCUCAUUUUACCACUUUCUUGCCACGGUUGUUAAAUGGAUCAUCGCAAUUGCUUGGUAACAUGGUUGUUAAGUGAAUCUGGUUUCCCCAUUGAUUUUGUUUGUCGGAAGGUCAUAAAAGCUGUUCACUUGACCAUGAGACACUGCAACUGUCAUACAUAUGGGCCAGUUGCCAAGCACCUUAACUCUGAAUUAUCACUAAACAGUUAUAAAUCAAGGACCACCUAUACUGCAAUCCUUGAUUCUGGACUGGACAAUUGUUUCUUGCUAAAACACAAUAGCAAGAAUGAUGCUUUUAAUUCUCACAGAAUAAAGGUUUGUUCUUUCAAGUAUGGUAGAUGGUUUGCAGCUAUAGUAAAAUGCUGACUGAGGAAAAUAUAAAUCAGGAGCCCUGGUAGCACCAGCUAAUAAAUAUUAUUAAAAGUCAGCAUCUUAAUCUUUCACAAAUAGCAGUUCAGCUCAUCAUUACAGUCCAUUUAAAAAAUUGCCUUUAAAAAAAACCUUUAAAAGAAUUGUUAGUUGAAAACCAGAUUCCUGAUUUUUUGCUACUAUACAUGGCUCUUCUACAAAUAAGAUAUAGCAUUUGUUGCUGCCCUCUUACAUUAUCUGGCUCAUCUAAAAAAAUCCUAAUCCAGUUUACUUUUAGUGCGACAACCGAUGUAUCAAUGAUAUGGUAUGCCAUUAGGUAUGCCUACUGUUCUAUUUUUGUAUAACAAAAUGUAUCCAACAGCAGUCCAAAAUAAAUAAUAAACUGUA